This 456-nucleotide ribosomal RNA is filed under the name uncultured bacterium. RNAcentral describes it as "bacterial SSU rRNA". It matches the Rfam family "Bacterial small subunit ribosomal RNA", at positions 330 to 801 of the family's 1533-position model. The record is from RNAcentral.
ACCGUACUCCUACGGGAGGCAGCAGUGGGGAAUAUUGGGCAAUGGACGCAAGUCUGACCCAGCAACGCCGCGUGAAGGAAGAAGGCUUUCGGGUUGUAAACUUCUUUUAAGGGGGAAGAGCAGAAGACGGUACCCCUUGAAUAAGCCACGGCUAACUACGUGCCAGCAGCCGCGGUAAUACGUAGGUGGCAAGCGUUGUCCGGAUUUACUGGGUGUAAAGGGCGUGCAGCCGGGAAUGCAAGUCAGAUGUGAAAUCUGGAGGCUCAACCUCCAAACUGCAUUUGAAACUGUGUUUCUUGAGUGUCGGAGAGGUAAUCGGAAUUCCUUGUGUAGCGGUGAAAUGCGUAGAUAUAAGGAAGAACACCAGUGGCGAAGGCGGAUUACUGGACGAUAACUGACGGUGAGGCGCGAAAGCGUGGGGAGCAAACAGGAUUAGAAACCCCAGUAGUCCUUGAC